RNAcentral lists this ribosomal RNA (685 nucleotides) under uncultured bacterium. RNAcentral's name for it is "bacterial SSU rRNA". It matches the Rfam family "Bacterial small subunit ribosomal RNA", at positions 28 to 707 of the family's 1533-position model. The record is from RNAcentral.
AUUGAACGCUGGCGGCAUGCCUUACACAUGCAAGUCGAACGGCAGCACGGGUACUUGUACCUGGUGGCGAGUGGCGAACGGGUGAGUAAUACAUCGGAACGUACCUUAUCGUGGGGGAUAACGCAGCGAAAGCUGUGCUAAUACCGCAUACGCCCUUAGGGGGAAAGCGGGGGAUCGCAAGACCUCGCGCGAUUAGAGCGGCCGAUGCCUGAUUAGCUUGUUGGUGGGGUAAAAGCCCACCAAGGCGACGAUCAGUAGCUGGUCUGAGAGGACGAUCAGCCACACUGGGACUGAGACACGGCCCAGACUCCUACGGGAGGCAGCAGUGGGGAAUUUUGGACAAUGGGGGAAACCCUGAUCCAGCAAUGCCGCGUGAGUGAAGAAGGCCUUCGGGUUGUAAAGCUCUUUUGUCAGGGAAGAAACACCGGCUCUAACACAGUCCGGGAAUGACGGUACCUGAAGAAUAAGCACCGGCUAACUACGUGCCAGCAGCCGCGGUAAUACGUAGGGUGCAAGCGUUAAUCGGAAUUACUGGGCGUAAAGCGUGCGCAGGCGGUUAUACAAGACAGGCGUGAAAUCCCCGGGCUUAACCUGGGAAUGGCGCCUGUGACUGUAUAGCUAGAGUGUGUCAGAGGGGGGUAGAAUUCCACGUGUAGCAGUGAAAUGCGUAGAUAUGUGGAGGAAU